UACGUAGGGUGCAAGCGUUAAUCGGAAUUACUGGGCGUAAAGCGUGCGUAGGCGGUUUUGUAAGUCUGGCGUGAAAGCCCCGGGCUCAACCUGGGAAUUGCGAUGGAGACUGCAAGGCUUGAAUCUGGCAGAGGGGGGUAGAAUUCCACGUGUAGCAGUGAAAUGCGUAGAGAUGUGGAGGAACACCGAUGGCGAAGGCAGCCCCCUGGGUCAAGAUUGACGCUCAUGCACGAAAGCGUGGGGAGCAAACAGG
Molecule: ribosomal RNA, 253 nt
Filed under: uncultured bacterium
Lineage: Bacteria
Description: partial 16S ribosomal RNA
Rfam family: Bacterial small subunit ribosomal RNA
Source: RNAcentral